This 26-nucleotide non-coding RNA is filed under the name Rattus norvegicus (Norway rat). Lineage: Eukaryota; Metazoa; Chordata; Mammalia; Rodentia; Muridae. The record is from RNAcentral.
GUGCAAAUACUCCGAGAAAUGCAAGC